RNAcentral lists this unclassified non-coding RNA (267 nucleotides) under uncultured fungus. RNAcentral describes it as "partial contains small subunit ribosomal RNA, internal transcribed spacer 1, and 5.8S ribosomal RNA". The stretch from base 1 to 73 matches the Rfam family "Eukaryotic small subunit ribosomal RNA", at positions 1759 to 1831 of the family's 1831-position model. The record is from RNAcentral. Lineage: Eukaryota; Fungi.
ACAAACUUGGUCAUUUAGAGGAAGUAAAAGUCGUAACAAGGUUUCCGUAGGUGAACCUGCGGAAGGAUCAUUACCGAGUGAGGGUCCCCUCCGGGGGCCCAACCUCCCACCCGUGUCUACCGUACCAUGUUGCUUCGGCGGGCGCGCCCGUGCCCGCCGGAGACCCCUUGAACGCUGUUGUGAAUAAGGUUGUCUGAGUGAUAUUGCAAAACUGUCAAAACUUUCAACAACGGAUCUCUUGGUUCCGGCAUCGAUGAAGAACGCAGC